GCAUCCAGAACAGUGCCCCGGAGACAGAA
Molecule: small RNA, 29 nt
Filed under: Bombyx mori (domestic silkworm)
Lineage: Eukaryota; Metazoa; Arthropoda; Insecta; Lepidoptera; Bombycidae
Description: ovarian small RNA-16532
Source: RNAcentral